Molecule: ribosomal RNA, 253 nt
Filed under: uncultured bacterium
Lineage: Bacteria
Description: partial 16S ribosomal RNA
Rfam family: Bacterial small subunit ribosomal RNA
Source: RNAcentral
UACGUAGGGUGCGAGCGUUGCCCGGAUUUAUUGGGCGUAAAGGGCGCGUAGGCGGCCACGCACGUCCGUUGUGAAAUCGCCCGGCUCAACUGGGCGGGGUCAGCGGAUACGGUGUGGCUCGAGCAAGCUAGGGGGCAAUGGAAUUCCCGGUGUAGUGGUGGAAUGCGUAGAUAUCGGGAGGAACACCAGUGGCGAAGGCGGUUGCCUGGAGCUUUGCUGACGCUGAUGCGCGAAAGCUAGGGGAGCAAACAGG